CUGGCACAUUUCCUGCCAGGUUGAAAAAUAUCAGUGCACUGUUUAAUAUGUCUCUUUGAAGAGAAAUCUGAAGCCAGGGAAUGCAAAUGGAAGCCUGCUCACUGUUUGUUUUUUAUCAGUGUGUUGUACAGAGCGAAUGGCCUCGGACCUUCAAUGGCUGUGCACUGCUUUCUCAGGACUUUCCCUCAAAGGGAAGAACUGACCCUUAUCUCUUUCCCUUUUCUCCACCAUUAGAGCUCAGAGAUCCCAAGAGGCAAAGCGGGGAAAGUUUUAGAAAUCAUUUCACUCUGGAAAGCUUUCAGAUCACAGAUUCCUGCUCAUAAGUGGAUAAAUGAUGCAGUAAAAUUGAACAAACACAGCUCGUCCUACAUUCUGAAGAUGGGGCACAUUUAUCAGAAGAGAAAAACUGCCAGAGAGAAUUCACAUCAGUGCAGACCGAGAGUCUCAGAUGGCUAAGAGAUGUGCCUGACAACUUUUCAGAAAUAAGACUAUUAAAAGAAGGUCAGCUUGGAGUCUUACUGCGAAGAAUUAUAAACAGGCACGUGGAUUAUAAAUAGGGAUCAUCUAAUUCUACAACAAGAUUGCUGUCUGAACACUUGAGAUAAAUCUUCAUUCACUCUCUGGAAUUGCUCAACACACAGGUUAAUUUCUCACUAUUGAUUUUCUCCAGUAUGCUUCUUGAAUGCUUCGAGAUCUCUUGACCUAUACAAAAUAUCUCUGUGACAGAAGGUUAAAAAAAUAGCUCUUCAAAUUUAUGACAAACCCACAGCCAAUAUCAUACUCAAUGGGCAAAAGCUGGAAGCAUUCCCUUUGAAAACUGGCACAAGACAAGGAUGUCCUCUCACCACUCCUAUUCAAAUUAUUAUUGGAAGUUCUGGCCAGGGCAAUCAGGCAAGAGAAAGAAAUAAAGGGUAUUCAAAUAGGAAGACAGGGAGUCAAAUUAUCUCUGUUUGCAGAUGACAUGAUUGUAUAUUCAGAAAACCCCAUUGUCUCAGCCCAAAAACUCCUUAAGCUGAUAAGCAACUUCAGCAAAGUCUCAGGAUACAAAAUCAAUGUGCAAAAAUCACAGGCAUUCCUAUACAUCACUAAUAGAGAGCCAAAUCAUGAGUGAACUCCCAUUCACAAUUACUACAAAGAGAAUAAAAUGCCUAGGAAUACAACUUACAAAGGGAUGUGAAGGACUUCAUGCUACCUGACUUCAAACUAUGCUACAAGGCUACAGUAAC
This 1226-nucleotide long non-coding RNA is filed under the name Homo sapiens (human). Its description in RNAcentral is "HSALNT0080829". Lineage: Eukaryota; Metazoa; Chordata; Mammalia; Primates; Hominidae. The record is from RNAcentral.